This 486-nucleotide long non-coding RNA is filed under the name Mytilus galloprovincialis (Mediterranean mussel). The record is from RNAcentral. Lineage: Eukaryota; Metazoa; Mollusca; Bivalvia; Mytilida; Mytilidae.
GAUCUAGUGGAAUAAAUAUAGGGAAUUAUGCCGUACACGGAAGAACAGGAGAACUACUUCAAGCUUAUCACUUUGAUUUACUGUAUAGGGGCAAAUGUAAACCGUGAACUAUUGUACAAGUUUAUUAGCUCAAGGAACAUAACGCUAGAAAAAUUUAUAAAUGAUCAUCAACAUGAAAUGUACCAUUUAUUCUGCAUUGUUAAAUGCUGUCAAUGCAAAACGAAGCCUAUACCGCUAAACGAUUCGGGGGUCAUUAGCCGAGGUCAAAUGCAAUUAGUUUUUGAAUAUCCUUCUAAUGAUCGGCUUGAAAACCACAAACAAGAAAGAACAGGACAAUUGUGUUGUUUGAAGGCAAUUAAAAAUGUAAAACUUAAAGAUUUAGAUUUCACCCUCAUCAAAUUUUUCCUUGUAAAUUUUUGUCAUCAAAUUUUUUGGGAUUGCCUUUUAGAAAAUGUCGAACAGACAUUCUCCGAGUUUCUAGCGCCA